RNAcentral lists this ribosomal RNA (231 nucleotides) under uncultured bacterium. RNAcentral's name for it is "partial 16S ribosomal RNA". It matches the Rfam family "Bacterial small subunit ribosomal RNA", at positions 15 to 237 of the family's 1533-position model. The record is from RNAcentral.
GAUCCUGGCUCAGAAUGAACGCUAGCUACAGGCUUAACACAUGCAAGUCGAGGGGCAGCAUGGUCUUAGCUUGCUAAGGCCGAUGGCGACCGGCGCACGGGUGAGUAACGCGUAUCCAACCUGCCUUACACUCUUGGACAGCCUUCUGAAAUGGAGAUUAAUACAAGAUGUUAUCAUGAGUAAGCAUUUUCGCAUGAUUAAAGGUUUACCGGUGUAAGAUGGGGAUGCGUU